RNAcentral lists this ribosomal RNA (492 nucleotides) under uncultured bacterium. Its description in RNAcentral is "bacterial SSU rRNA". It matches the Rfam family "Bacterial small subunit ribosomal RNA", at positions 30 to 508 of the family's 1533-position model. The record is from RNAcentral.
AUUGAACGCUGGCGGCGUGCUUAACACAUGCAAGUCGAGCGGUAACAGGUGUAGCAAUACAUGCUGACGAGCGGCGAACGGGUGAGUAAUGCUUCGGAAUCUUCCUCGUAGUGGGGAAUAACCUGGGGAAACUCAGGCUAAUACCGCAUACGAACUACGGUUGAAAGCAGGGGAUCGCAAGACCUUGCGCUAUGAGAUGAGCCGAAGUCGGAUUAGCUAGUUGGUGAGGUAAAGGCUCACCAAGGCGACGAUCCGUAGCUGGUCUGAGAGGACGACCAGCCACACUGGGACUGAGACACGGCCCAGACUCCUACGGGGAGGCAGCAGGUGGGGAAUAUUGGACAAGUGGGGGCAACCCUGAUCCAGCGACGCCGCGUGUGUGAAGAAGGCCUGCGGGUUGUAAAGCACUUUUAGUGGGAUAGAAAACGCCGAAGGGUUAAUACCCUUUGGUCUUGACCUAACCCAAAGAAAAGACACCGGCUAACUCUGUGC